UAGCGGCGGCGGCGUGAUUCUUCCGCCGCGUCGGGCGCCGGCUUGGAGGCUUCGUCCGCGGCCGCCGGGGGCUGCUGCGGGGCCGGCCAGCUGCCGCCUUGCCACCGCCGACCCUAGCAGCCCGCCCCUGCUGCCCCACUGCUGCCGCCUGAAGAGGGGCAACCUGAAGGGAGAGGAGGAGGAGGACGCGGUGGCUGUACUGAGAAGCCUGCCGCGAAGCCCCCGUCUCCUGGGAAGGGAGAGCCGAGGGCUGGCCCGGGCUGGAGCGGUGCUGCGGUACAGAGGGGGAGAAAUACCUUCACCGUUUACGAGAGUGUAUAAAAUAAAACCAUUAAAAAUGAAUUGCCUACCUUUUCGAUGCUUCAAUCAAUGCUAUCUCACUGAGGACCUUGCUUGAUAGAAAGCUGCCCUAAAGUAGAGAGAAGAGGUGGAUUUUUAUCCAGCUUGACUUUGAAGAGGUGAACUGCAUUACUGGAUCAUGCAAGUACUGAUACCUGGCUUAGUGCAAAAUCAGUUAAGUUAAUGGAAAGCACCUUCAGCAGUAUUCCAUCACUGCACCACUGAUGAAUGGAUACCCACAAGACAGGGAGAAGUUAUCUCAGCAUGUGGAAUAGCAAGGGAUGGUUGCUGUACAGUAAGAAUUUAAACCACUCUAGUUGUUCUUGAAAUGAUUGUGUGUGCCUAUACUUUAUGUGUGCAAGAUGCAGACCUUUCUCAUCUGCUGUUCUGUGACUGUGAAACUUGUUCCCAGAUGUGCUUACAAUCAUCAUAAAUUUUGGAGACAUUCAGAACAAAAUGUAAAUCACACUUAUUUAGCCAUCCAUACUUUUGUUAAUGGCAAAGACUAAAAACGUAUAAAAGCCCAGACCGAUGAAAGAAAAGCUAUCAAUAGAACAUAAAUUAAGAGAUAAAGACAAAACAAGAAAGUUCAUUAGCAUCUUUGGAUGACACUUCUUUAUCCUGAUUUUUAAUGUCCUGCACAGACCAAGAUUAAGUAGAGUGUGUGGGAUUCUGAGUAAUCUGAUUGCCAUUGAUCAAUCCCACUUUCUCUCAGUCUUCAUUGGAACUGGGUAAUUAUUGAUUUAUAUCUGAUACAAGUAAGCAAGGAGGCAUGACAGCUGAUGAGAGGGAUCUAAUAGUGAAACUUGUAUGGAUGACUUAAAAAUACAUAAAUAAGAUUGGGAAGGAGGGACAUAUGUCAUUUAAAGUAUAUUGAUUUCUCCAAGUGAUAAAAGAACUGGGACUGUAACUCCAGUUGUCAAGGUGGAGGAAGGGAUUAUGGUGAGAAAGUUCAGUUGUAAAUUCAGGCGGAGAUUAUCAAUUAAGCAGUGAUGAAAAAUACAAAACAAUGUGGAUUUUAAGUCCAGAUAGCCAUAAAUUCUCUAAAACAUGGUUUAUACCAACACUAAUAUUUUAAUUUUAUUUGUGACCAACAGCUUUAGAUGCUCUUAUUCAUAAGUUAACAUCUGCUCCUUUGCUGAAACAUUCUGAACUCUUGACACCUUCUAGCAUUUGAUAUAGUGAACAGUUUCAAAGUUUAGCUGUGUUGGUAACAUUUGCUUUCAUUAGUUUUAAAUUUGAUAAGAUGAGUUUCAAAAGAUAAAGAGUGCUCAGUUUAGUUUCUCUAGACACUGUAUUGUAAGAAUAAACAUGCUGCUGUCUCUUUUCUAAAUUGGGUGGUCCCAAUUUAUGUAUUAGCUUACCUGCUUUUUUUUCCCUGUCUUUCUAAUGUAUUUGUCAUUGUCCUUCAGUGAGUAUGCUCUUAGUGAGGUAAGGAAUUAAGCACAAUACUAAGAUGAGAAUGAACUCCAGAUUUAUAGUAAAUUAUUUCAUACCCAAAGAUGCUGGUUUUUGACUGCAACUGUUUUGAUCACCUUUCAGCUCACUUCACAGUCAGGUUACAAGACCACACAUGUCUUCCAUAAUCUAUCAUGCUAUUUAACCCCCAAAAAAUUCUCCUUGUGGAAAAAUUUAAAAUUCAGUUCCAAGAUCCUUAACUAGAACAGACAAAUCUUUUUUAUUGCUUUCUUGUUCAGAUUUUCAAUGUAAAUAAUGAAAGCUUUAUAAUGAAAAAACACUUGAGUUAGCAAAUGUCAAGGUGUUAUGACUUUUGUCCUAAAAAGGGAGAAAAAAUCUUCUAUCAUUGAGCAAAUCUAUAUUAUCCAAAGUACUUUGAUACAUAAAAUAGGUUUUUCCUUUGGAGAUGCAUUAUUUUACAGAGUUUUUUCCAGCCCUUUAAGGAAAUUUCUUUUCCCUUAUUAACAGUCAGAUUCUAUCAAGAACAAUAACUACACUACAUCUUUUAGGACAAUAAAAAAUUCUCUCGGCAAGCAAGAACUCACUUGGAAAGAUAAUAUUUAAUUUCAAACAAGAAUGCAAGCAACGAAUAGCAUAUAGAUAUGUCAGAAUCACACUAAAAUUAAAUGUACCUAAAAUAAUAAUGUAUUUAGUUUUACAAUGCGUUUGCUUGUACUUUUUUAUGAUUUAUUUCCUUGGUGUAGAUGUAAGGUUAUAAUUAAAUAACAAAGUAAAAUAAUAAGUUUUGAAAGAGGUUUUUUCCACUUUAACUAAGCCAAAAUUUGAUUGUAACUUUAAAAUUACAUGAGUAAUUAUGUUAAUGUGUAGGUUUAUAAUUUGGGAGGGAUUGCAUUUGGGAAUUUUAUCACCUAGGGAAACUCCUUAGAUCUAUGUAUAGCAAGCCAAGAACAUGAGAAAAAUUGGACUAGGGAAUAAGCUUUAAAAUAUACAAAGGCCUAAAUUUUCCCAGCUGUUCUUUGUUAGCACAUCUCAACCUUUCUGGACCUCAACUGGCUCUGUGCAAGCACAAAGAUCUCUUUGUACUGCACUAUUUUUAAAAUGAAGUCCUCAAACAGGAUGAAGUUUCCUGAUGUUUUGAUUUCUGUUUUUAGGUACACAUGAAGCCUAUGCACAUAUUCAGGCUCUUUAAACCUGUACUAUUCACCAGUGAUAGCUUAUGCCCAAAUGCAGCUGAAAUCACAGUAAAUGAGAUCAGUACUCAUAAUUAAGCUUCUGUCAUCGUUCCAGCAAUUUCUCCAGUAAUUUAGACCCAAAAUUUAACAAUAUUUUACAAAUAGUAAGAAAUCUCUUUUACAGCUUCAAAGAUAGAAGCCUCUGAGUUCUAGAUACAUCUUUUGAAAAUAAAAAGAAAUACACUUUUUUGUCAUUUGAACAUUGUAAAAUCUCAAAAAGCCACUGAUAAAGCAUGAUGCUGCAGUAUAUUUAUGUUACUGCAGAAGAAGAAAGAUUGUCAGAGGGAAAACAAGCUAAGAAAUCCUGUUUUGCAACAACUGUGCCAAUAAUGCUGAUGAAAUCAUCAGUUAUGUUUUUGACAAGCAAGAGAAAUCAGUGUACUGUAUAUAUUGCUGUGCUGACUUGUACUUCCUAGGAAAAAGAAAGGGUGAGGGGAGAGGGAUGGGAAGGAUCGAUAUUUGCCAGAUGAAGAAGGAG
Dromaius novaehollandiae (emu) is the source of this 3468-nucleotide long non-coding RNA. RefSeq lists it as uncharacterized. The transcript has 3 exons. Lineage: Eukaryota; Metazoa; Chordata; Aves; Casuariiformes; Dromaiidae. The record is from RefSeq and is a predicted model, not a curated record.